GAUGAACGCUAGCGGCAGGCUUAACACAUGCAAGUCGAGGGGCAGCACGAUGUAGCAAUACAUUGGUGGCGACCGGCGCACGGGUGCGUAACACGUAUGGAACUUGCCCUUUACUGGGAGAUAGCCCUCCGAAAGGAGGAUUAAUAUCCCAUAAUAAAUGAGGUGGCAUCACCUUGUUUUGAAAGCUCCGGCGGUAAAGGAUGGCCAUGCGCACGAUUAGCUAGUUGGUGAGGUAAUGGCUCACCAAGGCUACGAUCGUUAGGGGGCCUGAGAGGGUUAUCCCCCACACUGGUACUGAGACACGGACCAGACUCCUACGGGAGGCAGCAGUGAGGAAUAUUGCGCAAUGGAGGCAACUCUGACGCAGCCAUGCCGCGUGCAGGAAGAAGGCGCUACGCGUUGUAAACUGCUUUUAACCGGGAAGAAACCCUCCUACGUGUAGAGGGUUGACGGUACCGGAGGAAUAAGCACCGGCUAACUUCGUGCCAGCAG
This 492-nucleotide ribosomal RNA is filed under the name uncultured bacterium. RNAcentral describes it as "bacterial SSU rRNA". It matches the Rfam family "Bacterial small subunit ribosomal RNA", at positions 28 to 514 of the family's 1533-position model. The record is from RNAcentral.